RNAcentral lists this ribosomal RNA (465 nucleotides) under uncultured bacterium. RNAcentral describes it as "partial 16S ribosomal RNA". It matches the Rfam family "Bacterial small subunit ribosomal RNA", at positions 338 to 795 of the family's 1533-position model. The record is from RNAcentral.
CCUACGGGAGGCAGCAGUGGGGAAUAUUGCGCAAUGGGCGAAAGCCUGACGCAGCGACGCCGCGUGAGGGAUGAAGGUCUUCGGAUCGUAAACCUCUGUCAGCAGGGAAGAACGGUCACUGUGCUAAUCAGCAGUGAAUUGACGGUACCUGCAAAGGAAGCACCGGCUAACUCCGGGCCAGCAGCCGCGGUAAUACGGAGGGUGCGAGCGUUAAUCGGAAUUACUGGGCGUAAAGCGCUCGUAGGCGGUAUGUCAAGUCAAGGGUGAAAUCCCCGCGCUCAACGGGGGAACUGCCUUUGAAACUGGCAGACUGGAGUGUGUGAGAGGAGAGUGGAAUUCCAGGUGUAGGAGUGAAAUCCGUAGAUAUCUGGAGGAACAUCAGUGGCGAAGGCGACUAUCUGGCACAUAACUGACGCUGAGGAGCGAAAGCGUGGGUAGCAAACAGGAUUAGAUACCCGUGUAGUC